Molecule: transfer RNA, 85 nt
Filed under: Caudoviricetes sp.
Lineage: Duplodnaviria; Heunggongvirae; Uroviricota; Caudoviricetes
Description: tRNA-Ser
Rfam family: tRNA
About the family: Transfer RNA (tRNA) molecules are approximately 80 nucleotides in length. Their secondary structure includes four short double-helical elements and three loops (D, anti-codon, and T loops).
Source: RNAcentral
GCAGUGUUCCCAUAAAUGGUAUUGGAGACGGUUGCUAACCGUUCAGGCAGAGGUUGCCUUGCAGGUUCGAGUCCUGCACACUGCG